CAGACCCAGAGCUAUCUGAGGAACCCACAGGACCCCGUGCGCCGGGCAGCCGUGGUGCUCAUAGGCUUCCUUGUCCAUCACACCAACCCCAGCCGCUUCGACCAGGAUCUGCUGGACUCCCUGUUCCAGGACCUAGGGCAGCUGCAGAGCGACCCUGAGCCUGCCGUCGUUGCCGCUGCGCAAGUAUCCUCCCAGCAGGUGGCACUGCUGGCCCAUGCGCUGGGCUGUCAACAGGGCCUGAGCUUUCCCCACCUCCGCCUGCGCCUCACCCUCCCCAUCAGGCCUCCACCAGUCUACCCAGACAACCCCUUCCAGCGCCGAAGCCUCGCAGGCCGGUGGGGCUGCUGUGGCGCACAGGGCUGAGCCUGACCCUGUGCCUGUCCUGGGGGGCGGGGGGGGGCUUGACCAAGUCUUGUUAGGGCUGGGCAUCUGAAUCCCUCAGCCCACCGCUCUGUGGA
Non-coding RNA from Miniopterus natalensis, 458 nucleotides. Lineage: Eukaryota; Metazoa; Chordata; Mammalia; Chiroptera; Miniopteridae. The record is from RefSeq and is a predicted model, not a curated record.